Molecule: ribosomal RNA, 424 nt
Filed under: Verrucomicrobiota bacterium
Lineage: Bacteria; Pseudomonadati; Verrucomicrobiota
Description: Verrucomicrobia bacterium partial 16S ribosomal RNA
Rfam family: Bacterial small subunit ribosomal RNA
Source: RNAcentral
UGAGGAAUAUUGGUCAAUGGACGAGAGUCUGAACCAGCCAAGUAGCGUGCAGGAUGACGGCCCUAUGGGUUGUAAACUGCUUUUGUUUGGGAAUAAUCGACAUUACGUGUAAUGUUUUGCAUGUACCAUUCGAAUAAGGACCGGCUAAUUCCGUGCCAGCAGCCGCGGUAAUACGGAAGGUCCAGGCGUUAUCCGGAUUUAUUGGGUUUAAAGGGAGCGUAGGCUGUUUGUUAAGCGUGUUGUGAAAUGUAAGAGCUCAACUUUUAGAUUGCAGCGCGAACUGGCAGACUUGAGUGCGCACAACGUAGGCGGAAUUCAUGGUGUAGCGAUGAAAUGCUUAGAUAUCAUGACGAACUCCGAUUGCGAAGGCAGCUUACGGGAGCGCAACUGACGCUAAAGCUCGAAGGUGCGGGUAUCGAACAGG